CCCUAGCCCUGAUGGGAGCGGCAUCCUUUUUGUUUUUUCUUUAAAAACAAAAAGAUACAGCGGACAGCAGGAUUAGCU
This 78-nucleotide small RNA is filed under the name Flavobacterium cutihirudinis. RNAcentral's name for it is "Flavo-1 RNA". It matches the Rfam family "Flavo-1 RNA". The record is from RNAcentral. Lineage: Bacteria; Pseudomonadati; Bacteroidota; Flavobacteriia; Flavobacteriales; Flavobacteriaceae.